RNAcentral lists this long non-coding RNA (752 nucleotides) under Mustela putorius furo (domestic ferret). Its description in RNAcentral is "lncRNA (ENSMPUG00000025661.1)". Lineage: Eukaryota; Metazoa; Chordata; Mammalia; Carnivora; Mustelidae. The record is from RNAcentral.
CACAGAGGGGCAGAGGUGAGGGAGACACUGUCCCUGCCUUCAAGGAACCCUGCCAUUUGAUGGCAGAAAAUCCCGAAAAGGAACAUAAUAACAUAAUUGUUACUAAGGCGCGGUCACCAAGAUCCUAAAUGAAAGCUGUGAAACACAUUUUUACAGGAACUGUUCAGAGAUGGCAUUAUGGCGCCGAUGUCAAGAGCAAGACUUCUGGAAGCUUCGGGUUCAAAUCCCAGCUCUGCCACUUACUUGCUCAAGUUCAUUCACCCUUCGGCAAUCUUAAUGUCCUCCCCUGCAAAGUGGUGGUGAGAGAAGUGUCUACCUCCCACGUUAUCUUAGAAGAAGGAAAGGGGAGAUCCCGUAUACAACACACUUGCCACAGUGCUUGGCACAUCGAUUAACAGAUAUUUUCCUAAGCAGAAAUCAAAAUGUGUCAAAUCAUCUGAGACAGUCAAUUUGUUCACAAUGCCCACAUUCUUCCAGUACGGAUGCAGCACUAUUCAAAACCAGUUUCAUUUGAAGAGAUACAAUGCAGCAGAGAGGUAAACAUUUAUCUUCAUAAUCUUAGACUCCUUUCAGACUGCUUAAUUUUUCCCAGUGAUUUUCCCCUCCUCUUUCACUCCACCCCCAAGCUCUGCUUCAAAACAUUCAGUACAAAAAAGACAUGACUUCCCCAGAGGAUUCGGGUCUCAGUGAUCCUGAUGAUGCAACGUGUGCUCUCCAUUAUUCCUGGGAGCUCCCUGGAUGUCUCUCUGCAU